GGAGUUAGAUGCGUGGUGGAUGCGGGCUGGGUGCGGGGGUGGAUGCGGGGCUGGGUGCGGGUCUGUGUGCGGGCCGGGUGGUCUCGCGUGGGCGCAGCAGUGCGGGGCUGGCGCGCAGGAGCGGACGCGGGCGGCGCUGCUGGAGACGCUGCACGAGGAGCUGCAGGCGCGCAGCCAGGCCAUGCUGGGGCUCAGCCCCGACGAUGAGCGCCCCGACAACGGCGGCGCCGCCCCGGGCUUCUUCGAGUCCUUCAAGUCGCUGCUGGUGCCCGGGAGCCGCCGGGGACGCCGCGGCAGCGCCAUCGGGCUGGGCUCGGUGGAAGAGGCGCUGCUGGUGCCCGGGAAGAGCCCGUCACGGCGGCGGCCCGGCCCCCUCGGCUCCCGCCGCUCCAGCGCCAUCGGCAUCGAGAGUAUCCAGGAGGCGCCGGCCGGCAGGGACAGCCCCGCAGCCGCCGACGGCUCCAGCUCCACACACAGCUCCCCCGAGAGCCGCCGGAACCCCGACAGGUCCCGGGGCUGGCACCGGGAUGGGGACACGGGGACAGGAGGGCACUGGGGGGGGGAAUGUUUGGGACUGGAAGACACUGGGAUGGUGUGGCAACGGGACAGGGUGGCACCAGGAUGGGGUGGCACAGGGAUGGGCACUGGGACAAGUGAAGGUGACACAGGAGGGAUGGGACAGCAAAGGAAUGCAGAGGGACAGAGUGGCGGCAGGGUGGGGUGGCACAGGGACAAGGUGGCACCAGGAUGGCUGGCACAGGGCAGCAUGGGAACACCAGAGGGACAAGGUGUCACAGGGACAGGCUCACCCAGGGGCUGAGUGGCACCGGGUCCGUAUGUCCCAGGGACAAGGUGGCAGCGGGCUGCGGGGUGGCACUCGGGUAGCUUGGCUGCAGGGUGGCAUGAAGGUGGGUGGCACAGGGACACAAGGGACAUGGGGACAGGAUUGCACGGGGCUGGCACCUCCCAGGGCUGGGAUGGGAUGGGGUGGGGACAGGGUGCCACAGGGAUGGGACAUGCCGGGGCCAGGGUGACAUGAGGAUGCAGUGUCCCGGCCGGGGUGGUGUGGGGACAGGGUGUCCCGGGGCCAGCACAGCAUCGCAGCGGGGCCACGGUGGUGGCCACGAGGCGCGGUGCCAGCCUGUUGUGGCCUUGGGGACCGUCCCUGGCCGUGGGGACUGUCCCUGGCAGGGCCGAGAAGCCGGAGCCGCCGGAUUUCUCCCGCUCCUCCUCCAGCGCCAGCAGCUUCGGCAGCGCCGCGGAGGAGCCCGGCGAGCCGGGACGGGUACGGGGAGCCCGGGGUGGGCUCCGGGGGGGCACUUUGGGGUGGGCAGCACCCCCUGACCCCCCUGUGCCCCCUCAGGAGAGCCGCUCGCCCUCGGGGAGCCACCGCGACGCCUUCACGGACACCCCCUGGCCGGAUGAGCCCCCCGGGACCCCCCCAGGUAGCCCAGCACCCCCGGAUCGGGGCACUGCAGGGCUGGGGGCUCCUCGGGGUGCUCACGGUCCCCCCUUUGCCCCAGGCCGCCGCCCGCCUGACUCCCCCUGCCCUGAGAUCAAAAUCCAGCUGGAGCAGCCCCCCCAGAACCCGGUGAGGCUUUGCCCCCUUCACCCGUGCAGAGUGGGGGUGCCCACCGUGGGGUGCCCCCACUGAUGUCCCUCCCACAGGGCUCAUAGUCACCCCCCCACCUGCGGGGGUGCCACUGCUUCACCCCCCUCUGUGUGCCACCCCCGUGCCAGGAGCUGAAGCCAUCGUCCCCGGUGCAGGACUUGGGGGGGGGGGNNNNNNNNNNNNNNNNNNNNNNNNNNNNNNNNNNNNNNNNNNNNNNNNNNNNNNNNNNNNNNNNNNNNNNNNNNNNNNNNNNNNNNNNNNNNNNNNNNNNNNNCGUGACCCCAAAAUGAGGAGUGGGUCCAACCCCAGCAUCAUCCCCUCCCCUAAAAAACCAGAGGGGACUCAAAUCCAGGGUAACCCCAAAGUGGAGCUCCCUCUCCCCCCCUUUAUUUUAAGGGACAAAAGUUCCGGAAUGUGCCGGAGGCUGGAACUGGGGGGAAGGGGGAGGAAUAUUUUUUCACACCCUCCCAAAACUGUGUUUGUGUUUCCCGUGAGUCCUGUAUAAAAUAAAGGUUUAUUUAUCGCUACA
RNAcentral lists this long non-coding RNA (2141 nucleotides) under Junco hyemalis (dark-eyed junco). Its description in RNAcentral is "lncRNA (ENSJHYG00000006219.1)". The record is from RNAcentral. Lineage: Eukaryota; Metazoa; Chordata; Aves; Passeriformes; Passerellidae.